AACGAACGCUGGCGGCAUGCCUAACACAUGCAAGUCGAACGAGACCUUCGGGUCUAGUGGCGCACGGGUGCGUAACGCGUGGGAACCUGCCCUUAGGUUCGGAAUAACUCCCCGAAAGGGGUGCUAAUACCGGAUAAUGUCUUCGGACCAAAGAUUUAUCGCCUUUGGAUGGGCCCGCGUUGGAUUAGCUAGUUGGUAGGGUAAAAGCCUACCAAGGCGACGAUCCAUAGCUGGUCGGAGAGGAUGAUCAGCCACACUGGGACUGAGACACGGCCCAGAAUCCUACGGGAGGCAGCAGUGGGGAAUAUUAGACAAUGGGCGAAAGCCUGAUCCAGCAAUGCCGCGUGAGUGAUGAAGGCCUUAGGGUUGUAAAGCUCUUUUACCCGGGAUGAUAAUGACAGUACCGGGAGAAUAAGCACCGGCUAACUCCGUG
Molecule: ribosomal RNA, 433 nt
Filed under: uncultured bacterium
Lineage: Bacteria
Description: partial 16S ribosomal RNA
Rfam family: Bacterial small subunit ribosomal RNA
Source: RNAcentral